This 20-nucleotide unclassified non-coding RNA is filed under the name Mus musculus (house mouse). RNAcentral describes it as "oocyte_clustered_small_RNA11780". Lineage: Eukaryota; Metazoa; Chordata; Mammalia; Rodentia; Muridae. The record is from RNAcentral.
UGUGGAUGCUGUCGCUGCUG